Molecule: transfer RNA, 72 nt
Filed under: Lampropedia puyangensis
Lineage: Bacteria; Pseudomonadati; Pseudomonadota; Betaproteobacteria; Burkholderiales; Comamonadaceae
Description: tRNA-Arg
Rfam family: tRNA
About the family: Transfer RNA (tRNA) molecules are approximately 80 nucleotides in length. Their secondary structure includes four short double-helical elements and three loops (D, anti-codon, and T loops). Further hydrogen bonds mediate the characteristic L-shaped molecular structure. tRNAs have two regions of fundamental functional importance: the anti-codon, which is responsible for specific mRNA codon recognition, and the 3' end, to which the tRNAs corresponding amino acid is attached (by aminoacyl-tRNA synthetases). tRNAs cope with the degeneracy of the genetic code in two manners: having more than one tRNA (with a specific anti-codon) for a particular amino acid; and 'wobble' base-pairing, i.e. permitting non-standard base-pairing at the 3rd anti-codon position.
Source: RNAcentral
AAUAUAUUUUUUCUAUUGAACAGCUGCCUUCUAAGCAGCAGGUCGGGGGUUCGAGUCCCUCCUGGCAGGCCA